GUUAAAACUCAAAUGAAUUGACGGGGGCCCGCACAAGCGGUGGAGCAUGUGGUUUAAUUCGAUGCAACGCGAAGAACCUUACCUACUCUUGACAUCCAGCGAAUCCUUUAGAGAUAGAGGAGUGCCUUCGGGAACGCUGAGACAGGUGCUGCAUGGCUGUCGUCAGCUCGUGUUGUGAAAUGUUGGGUUAAGUCCCGCAACGAGCGCAACCCUUAUCCUUGUUUGCCAGCACAUAAUGGUGGGAACUCCAGGGAGACUGCCGGUGAUAAACCGGAGGAAGGUGGGGACGACGUCAAGUCAUCAUGGCCCUUACGAGUAGGGCUACACACGUGCUAC
Molecule: ribosomal RNA, 336 nt
Filed under: Salinivibrio sp. ML198
Lineage: Bacteria; Pseudomonadati; Pseudomonadota; Gammaproteobacteria; Vibrionales; Vibrionaceae
Description: bacterial SSU rRNA
Rfam family: Bacterial small subunit ribosomal RNA
Source: RNAcentral